This 1306-nucleotide long non-coding RNA is filed under the name Homo sapiens (human). RNAcentral describes it as "non-protein coding lnc-TMLHE-5:2". The record is from RNAcentral. Lineage: Eukaryota; Metazoa; Chordata; Mammalia; Primates; Hominidae.
UGGAGGAAAGAUGAGUGAGAGCAUCAACUUCUCUGACAACCUAGGCCAGUGUGUGGUGAUGCCAGGCAUGCCCUUCCCCAGCAUCAGGUCUCCAGAGCUGCAGAAGACGACGGCCGACUUGGAUCACAAUCUUCUCAGAGCCCAGCCAGGGGCCCCCAAGAAAGGCUCUGGUGGAGAACCUGUGCAUGAAGGCUGUCAACCAGUCCAUAGGCAGGGCCAUCAGGCACCAAAGGGAUUCUGCCAGCAUAGUGCUCCUGGAUUAGUGAUACACCCGGCACCCUGUCCUGGACAAGCUGUUGGCCUGGAUCUGAGCCCUCGUGGAGGUCAAAGCCACCUUUGGUUCUGCCAUUGCUGCUGUGUGGAAUUUCACCAGAAGUAGGCCUCUUCCUGACAGGCAGCUGCACCACUGCCUGGCGCUGCGCCCUUCCUUUGCUCUGCCCGCUGGAGACGGUGUUUGUCAUGGGCCUGAUCUGCAGGGAUCCUGCUACAAAGGUGAAACCCAGAAGAGUGUGGAGUCCAGAGUGUUGCCAGGACCCAGGCACAGGCAUUAGUGCCCGUUGGAGAAAACAGGGGAACCCCGAAGAAAUGGUGGGUCCUGGCCAUCCGUGAGAUCUUCCCAGGGCAGCUCCCCUCUGUGGAAUCCAAUCUGUCUUCCAUCCUGUGUGGCCGAGGGCCAGGCUUCUCACUGGGCCUCUGCAGGAGGCUGCCAUUUGUCCUGCCCACCUUCUUAGAAGCGAGACGGAGCAGACCCAUCUGCUACUGCCCUUUCUAUAAUAACUAAAGUUAGCUGCCCUGGACUAUUCACCCCCUAGUCUCAAUUUAAAAAGAUCCCCAUGGCCACAGGGCCCCUGCCUGGGGGCUUGUCACCUCCCCCACCUUCUUCCUGAGUCACCCCUGCAGCCUUGCUCCCUAACCUGCCCCACAGCCUUGCCUGGAUUUCUAUCUCCCUGGCUUGGUGCCAGUUCCUCCAAGUUGAUGGCACCUCCCUCCCUCUCAACCACUUGAGCAAACUCCAAGACAUCUUCUACCCCAACACCAGCAAUUGUGCCAAGGGCCAUUGGGCUCUCAGCAUGACUAUUUUUAGAGACCCCGUGUCUGUCACUGAAACCUUUUUUGUGGGAGACUAUUCCUCCCAUCUGCAACAGCUGCCCCUGCUGACUGCCCUUCUCUCCCAGAGAAACAGGUCAGCUGGGAGCUUCUGCCCCCACUGCCUAGGGACCAACAGGGGCAGGAGGCAGUCACUGACCCCGAGACGUUUGCAUCCUGCACAGCUAGAGGUCCUUUAUUAAAAGCACACUGUUGGUUU